RNAcentral lists this ribosomal RNA (490 nucleotides) under uncultured bacterium. Its description in RNAcentral is "partial 16S ribosomal RNA". It matches the Rfam family "Bacterial small subunit ribosomal RNA", at positions 30 to 507 of the family's 1533-position model. The record is from RNAcentral.
AUUGAACGCUGGCGGCAGGCCUAACACAUGCAAGUCGAACGGUAACAGGAAGACGCUUGCUUCUUUGCUGACGAGUGGCGGACGGGUGAGUAAUGUCUGGGAAACUGCCUGAUGGAGGGGGAUAACUACUGGAAACGGUAGCUAAUACCGCAUAACGUCGCAAGACCAAAAAGGGGGACCUUCGGGCCUCUUGCCAUCGGAUGUGCCCAGAUGGGAUUAGCUAGUAGGUGGGGUAACGGCUCACCUAGGCGACGAUCCCUAGCUGGUCUGAGAGGAUGACCAUCCACACUGGAACUGAGACACGGUCCAGACUCCUACGGGAGGCAGCAGUGGGGAAUAUUGCACAAUGGGCGCAAGCCUGAUGCAGCCAUGCCGCGUGUAUGAAGAAGGCCUUCGGGUUGUAAAGUACUUUCAGCGGGGAGGAAGGGAGUAAAGUUAAUACCUUUGCUCAUUGACGUUACCCGCAGAAGAAGCACCGGCUAACUCCGUG